This 89-nucleotide transfer RNA is filed under the name Lactococcus lactis. RNAcentral's name for it is "tRNA-Ser". It matches the Rfam family "tRNA". Rfam says of the family: Transfer RNA (tRNA) molecules are approximately 80 nucleotides in length. Their secondary structure includes four short double-helical elements and three loops (D, anti-codon, and T loops). Lineage: Bacteria; Bacillati; Bacillota; Bacilli; Lactobacillales; Streptococcaceae. The record is from RNAcentral. RNAcentral also lists the same sequence under 1 other name.
GGAGGAUUACCCAAGUCUGGCUGAAGGGAACGGUCUUGAAAACCGUCAGGCGUGUAAAAGCGUGCGUGGGUUCGAAUCCCACAUCCCCU